GACGAACGCUGGCGGCGUGCUUAACACAUGCAAGUCGAACGGAAAGGCCCUGCUUUUGUGGGGUGCUCGAGUGGCGAACGGGUGAGUAACACGUGAGUAACCUGCCCUUGACUUUGGGAUAACUUCAGGAAACUGGGGCUAAUACCGGAUAGGAGCUCCUGCUGCAUGGUGGGGGUUGGAAAGUUUCGGCGGUUGGGGAUGGACUCGCGGCUUAUCAGCUUGUUGGUGGGGUAGUGGCUUACCAAGGCUUUGACGGGUAGCCGGCCUGAGAGGGUGAGCGGCCAAGCUACGCUGGGGAUGCGACACGGACUAGUACCGUACGCAAGGCAGGAGUAGAUAAUACUAGGGGAGGAGGGAUAGCGUAGCAAAGCAGUGUGGGGGAAGUGAUGAUUCGGGUAGGAUACUGCAGCCGCUUUUGACGAGGUGAGAGUGACGGUACUGGGUGAAGAAGCACCGGCUAACUACGUG
Molecule: ribosomal RNA, 468 nt
Filed under: uncultured bacterium
Lineage: Bacteria
Description: partial 16S ribosomal RNA
Rfam family: Bacterial small subunit ribosomal RNA
Source: RNAcentral